AAGAAAAAAACCGGCUCCAAACCCUAAUAUAUACUCCAAAGUGGUGACCAAAACCUAAAUCACCCAUUCUGAAACAAACAAUCACCUGAUUAACAAACAUUCUAAGAUAUUAACAUUCUGAGACAAACAAAAAUAUUAAUCAGCUGAUUAACGAAGAAAAAUAUCAUGGGGGUGGCUGUGGAAGGUGUGGUGGACUGGUGGUGUUGUUUACCGGUGCGGGGGCAGUGGUAGCCAUUUCCUCUUUGUAUGCCACUACCAUUUUGCAUCACAUCCUUUCCCAAGCCUUGGAUGGCUUUCCCCAAUGCCGCCAAUCGAUCUGCAAAAAAACAGUUUAAAACAAGAUGUGAAGAUCAAGUUUAGAAUCAAAAUGUGCAGGCCAACAUCCCAUCAAUCACUGACAGCUUACUAGUUUCAUAAUAAAAAUGAAGGGACAAUAUAGAUGUUUGAAUAUUACUUACAGAAGAAGAUGUUCUGGAUCCCAAGUUGGAUUUGAGAGAAUAGAUCAUUAUAACACAAAUUCCUGUCAAAACCAAAUAAAAAAAAAAAAAAAUGUAUUAUGUUUCUAAAUUUCUUAACACAAAAUAAAUUUCAUUGAUAUAUAUAUAUGGUGAAAGUUUUCAAAGAAAACUUACUUUUGUUACCUCUGAGGCUACACUCAUGGAGUCAUGGAACAUGAAAUAAAUGAAAAAGAUGGAAAGAAGAAGAAGAUAAUG
This 713-nucleotide long non-coding RNA is filed under the name Aquilegia coerulea. Its description in RNAcentral is "long non-coding RNA (ACOE_LNC001685)". The record is from RNAcentral. Lineage: Eukaryota; Viridiplantae; Streptophyta; Magnoliopsida; Ranunculales; Ranunculaceae.